GCCUGGAUGGUCUAGUCGUAUGAUUCUCGCUUUGGGCUACCAAGUCUCGAAUGCGAGAGGUCCCGGGUUCAAAUCCCGGUUCGGGCC
This is a transfer RNA of Aspergillus nidulans FGSC A4, 87 nucleotides long. It matches the Rfam family "tRNA". From Rfam's summary of the family: Transfer RNA (tRNA) molecules are approximately 80 nucleotides in length. The record is from Rfam. NCBI's taxonomy places the organism in Eukaryota, Fungi, Ascomycota, Eurotiomycetes, Eurotiales, Aspergillaceae.